This 499-nucleotide unclassified non-coding RNA is filed under the name uncultured Glomus. Its description in RNAcentral is "SSU rRNA". It matches the Rfam family "Eukaryotic small subunit ribosomal RNA", at positions 591 to 1092 of the family's 1831-position model. Lineage: Eukaryota; Fungi; Glomeromycota; Glomeromycetes; Glomerales; Glomeraceae. The record is from RNAcentral.
CCAAUAGCGUAUAUUAAAGUUGUUGCAGUUAAAAAGCUCGUAGUUGAAUUUCGGGACUAAUAUGUCGGUCGUGCCUCGGUACGUACUGGUAUUUUUGGUUUCUCCCUUCUGACGAAUCUUGAUGUCAUUAAUUUGGUGUCUUGGGAAAUCAGGACUGUUACUUUGAAAAAAUUAGAGUGUUUAAAGCAGGCUCACGCUUGAAUACAUUAGCAUGGAAUAAUGAAAUAGGACGUUUGAUUCUAUUUUGUUGGUUUCUAGGAUCGACGUAAUGAUUAAUAGGGAUAGUUGGGGGCAUUAGUAUUCAAUUGUCAGAGGUGAAAUUCUUGGAUUUAUUGAAGACUAACUACUGCGAAAGCAUUUGCCAAGGAUGUUUUCAUUAAUCAAGAACGAAAGUUAGGGGAUCGAAGACGAUCAGAUACCGUCGUAGUCUUAACCAUAAACUAUGCCGACUAGGGAUCGGAUGAUGUUAAUUUUUUAAUGACUCAUUCGGCGCCUUACG